GUAGACGUCACAAUUUAUGAUUAUCAGGCAACAUGACAGAGGUAUUGCUUUUUUUUUCUCCGGACGGCUGUGAAGGUUUCACCACUAUUUUUUUUAGGUUGGAAUUCAAGGGGACAUUGCUGUUCAUGGUGUGGAGAAGAAAUCUGUUGCAAAACUACAAGAGGAAUAGACCACGCAUAAGAUUAGUGUGCUGGAUAAGCAUGUCUGUGUGACAUUUGCAGCCUAGGGUGUCCCCAGCAUCCUGAGAUUGUCUCCAACACGUUAUCACAGAUAGCUGAUUUCUUUUACCAUUAUUUGUAUAACCCAGUUAGUAAAGGCCCGCCGCACCUCUCUCAGCCGUACAGACGACAGAGCGGUGUAUUAGCCAUUAGGCAUCUCCACGUAGAUUGUGGGGUUAGACUAAAAUGGAACCUUCAGACUAUGCCAGAUGUGCCCUCCUGGAACAUACCAUGCAUGAAAGGCAAACGCAAUUGGUCGUAAUGCAAAGACACUGAGAGAAUUCCUGGAAAAGAAUUACACAGAUGCAGGUGACAAUGACACGAUUAAGCUCACAAUCAGGGUGUUGCUUGAGGUAAUGUCCCUUCCCUUUGUUGAUAGCAGUAAAGUGAGACGCAUUUCUUUGCCCACGGUAACAUGACCUUUGUUUGCAGGGAGGAACGUUGAACUUACCGUCAUCAGUAGGUGCCAGUCGCUGAAGGUGUUGCAUUUGUGCUAUAUUUAUCCAGUUCUGUCUCUUCUGAUCUCAUGUGUUUGUUAGUUUUUUUGCAGACAUUGGAAGCUAAAGAAAUUGAAACACUGGUUGCUGAGAUAAAGUAAGGAAGAGGAGGCAGAAAAGAAACAUGAAAUACACAUAGGUUUAAAAAAAAUAAUCUAUGUGGUUCCAAGGGACCAUCUAGGAAAUGGGAGAUGGACAAAUGGCCCCCGUCAGACUGAAAGCACAAAAUAUAUCUUCUCAGCGUUUAUCAUAAGCUAUCAAGAUUGGUCAGGUCAUUGGUACAUCAGUGUUUUCACAUUUUAAACCAUGCAAACAUUUUGAACACUACGCAACGUAUAAGUCAAGCACAUUAAUAAAGCCUGAUGUUUUAUAUACCUCAUUAAUCACUAAACAGCAUUGAGUUUUCACUUAAUCUCAAGUUUAUUAGGGUGCUUUUCUUCUACACCAGGUACCAUACUUUUGGUACUUCAACCCAAACCCUAACCUACUGGUGUAAAAACUGGUACCAGCGUGGACAGCUGGAUGAUGUGUGACAUUAAUACAAGGUUAUGCACAUGUAAUUCUUACAUCAGUCAGCUAUAUUAAGAUUGGGCCCUUUCUUACCUCAUACUGUACAGACAUUAUAGCACAGGGGGUUUAGGUUUUGCUUUUUGCAUAUUUACCGAAUUAAGAAAAGAAAAAACUUAGCAAGCUUUGCAAUUUUAAUGAUUAUUCCUUUUCAGUAUUAUCUCGUAUAUGUUUAAAAACAUCGCUUUAAAGUUUACCACCGCUGCAUUCUGCAUGAGUGCUGUAUGCAUUCUCUGAGACAAUCAUUUUCAUCCUUGCCGUUUAUUAAAUUAAUUUGUGAGAAAUUUAUGAACUGUUUUGCUUUUAAAUAAAUAGCCCAGUGUUUAUUACAACAAAAUCACAUUGCGAUAUUUGAAAAAUCCCAAUCUUGUUGUACCUGCAUGUUCUUCAGACCAGAUAGCAGUUUAGAAGCUUGGGUCUCUUCAUUUGUCCACGCAUCCAUUAUUAUUACUUUUCUUUUUUUACUUUGUUUAUCAUUGUUUUCUGAUUUCAUAACUUUUUUCAAGACAGAUGUUGUAUUGUGUUUCGGAGGCAGGCUAUUUGCAUAAGCAGUCGACAAAGAAAAUGUCCCACCCCAAAGUACCAAACUACCAAAAAAGUACCCCAGUUGGUUUGGAACUUUCGAUACUGUCAUUUUUGUUACUGGUACCAAAUGGAAAAGGGAAAGUACCGUUAGUAUAAACAGCCUACUCCUUCAAACAGUGAAUCACAUGGCUGCAACUGAAAAUAUACGGCUCACAGAUAGAAUCAAGAGGUUCACUUAUUUUUCGGAUGGCAUUCGGGCGACUAAGACGCCUGAUCUAAGCGAUUUUGAACCUGGUGAUCUCUGAACAUUUCAUCUGCACUUGAAGUAGUUCUGGAGACGUGGGUCUUGCCUAGCACUAGGCAGAAGUGCCUUUCCGUGUUGCUUUAGAAAAUCUUAGGAAAAUCUGAUGGCCUCUAUCUUAGCUCCUGGAUAACUCAGUCUGACACUGGAGACUGAGAACCAGUCACAGGUUUUCCCAGGAAAAGUGAUGGAAGAUCGUCUUCUUCUGAUCUGGUCUUUGUAUACACAUUUUUCACUUAAAACCUAAAAUUCAAAGUUAUUUUUUAUAUCUUGCUGACAUAAAUGUUAUUACAAAUCUGAAACUGAGAUGUUGUUUUGAUUUGGGUUUUCCUUAAGCUUUGUCCAUCAGUUCCUUUCAAUUUUUGUUCAUACUUAAAGGUGGGCUUUGGUUGUGUGUGUAAAAUGUUUAUCUUUUUGGUCCAAACUGGCACUCUGUGCCAAAGUCACAUUAACAUGAAAGGAGGAAAAACCUUAUUUCUGUCCAGUGAGCUGCUUUGCAUUUCACUGUAAUCCGAACCUGUUUAACAUUCGAUCGCAGUUCAAAACUCGACGGCAGGGUUGUAGCCAGGAGUGCUGAUCUUUAAAGGGAUCCAAGCUUUAAGCUAAUUGGAAACAUCAAUGACUUUAAUCUGGAAGCCUUUGAAAACUCACAUUCUGGGCUGUGCCAGUGCCUACGGCCCUUUAGACUUGAAAAAGACAUAAUAGAGAAUGUAAAGUGCUUCAUUUAGGCUGUUGUCCCCGAGCCUGGCGAUUGGAAGGGGAUAACUUAGUCUCAUGGCCAGGGAGAAUUAUUGUUAUGUAUUUUCUGAGGCUGUGCUUGAUGAUAACUGCUUCAAUCUUCAUCAAAAGAAAAUGUUCUGACAUAGGAUGAGCUGAUAACUUGUAGCGAAAAUAGUUUUUUUGAUUUUUUUGAUGGGAAGAUCAACAGAAUACAGGUGUGCAAGGGAGAGAUGUAAAGAAAUGGACUGUUCCAUUGUGGUAUGUGUGAGAGGGGCUGCUUUCUUUUCAGGCCUGGUAGAAAAGAACACCACUAUUGGCUGUAGCUCAGCCUUGUGUUUUAGAAUCUUGGGUUGUAACACUGAUGAAUUUAAGGAGUUUGCAUAGAAUGAGGGCAAUGCGGAAUGUGUUUGUAAUAGCAAAAAAAUAUUCUGUAGAUAUGAUGUGAGGCUUGGUUACUCACUGUCAUGCAUGUUAAGGUGUGUAUUUAUAGCCUGCAGAUAGAUUUUCUUCCAGGACUUCCCCCCCAAAAAGUGAGAAUUCCUCCUGGCAUGAGACAGGGAGAAACCUAUUAGCCACACGCGUCACAGAACGGUGCCCGCGGGCGCGAGCGGGUCGCUUGUUGCCAGAUCCGGCCUGCUGCCGGGCAGCCCUAAGAUAUGGUUGCUCUGAAGCCUGGCAAUUAGUGUGUAAAAUGACGAUUCUGCAGGAGGUCGUCUGGGUGGGAAAGCAGCCCUGCGGAUCUGAGGUCUGCUCUCACGUCUGUGUGGAAGUUGUGGGUUAUGGGCGGCGUCUUUGCAUGUACGUACGCCCCAGGUCAAAUGUGGAACUUCCUGUUUUACUGGAGUUAUUACUGAAGUAACCAAAUAUUUGUUUUCACCUCAUGUUUGCUUUUUAUUCGAUGAACAUUUCUGGGCACCCAAUUAGCGCAGAGUAUUUCCUGUGUUUCACAAGGCGUAAUAAAAUCACCUUGUAGAUAA
Molecule: long non-coding RNA, 3805 nt
Organism: Paramormyrops kingsleyae
Lineage: Eukaryota; Metazoa; Chordata; Actinopteri; Osteoglossiformes; Mormyridae
Source: RefSeq, a predicted model, not a curated record